UAUUUAUUAGAUAAAAAACCAAUGCCCUUCGGGGCUCCUUGGUGAAUCAUAAUAACUUAACGAAUCGCAUGGCCUUGCGCCGGCGAUGGUUCAUUCAAAUUUCUGCCCUAUCAACUUUCGAUGGUAGGAUAGUGGCCUACCAUGGUAUCAACGGGUAACGGGGAAUUAGGGUUCGACUCCGGAGAGGGAGCCUGAGAAACGGCUACCACAUCCAAGGAAGGCAGCAGGCGCGCAAAUUACCCAAUCCCGACACGGGGAGGUAGUGACAAUAAAUACUGAUACAGGGCUCUUUUGGGUCUUGUAAUUGGAAUGAGUACAAUUUAAAUCCCUUAACGAGGAACAAUUGGAGGGCAAGUCUGGUGCUAGCAGCCGCGGUAAUUCCAGCUCCAAUAGCGUAUAUUAAAGUUGUUGCAGUUAAAAAGCUCGUAGUUGAACCUUGGGCCUGGCCGGCCGGUCCGCCUCACCGCGUGUACUGGUCCGGCCGGGCCUUUCCUUCUGGGGAACCUCAUGCCCUUCACUGGGCGUGUUGGGGAACCAGGACUUUUACUUUGAAAAAAUUAGAGUGUUCAAAGCAGG
Molecule: ribosomal RNA, 576 nt
Filed under: uncultured eukaryote
Lineage: Eukaryota
Description: SSU rRNA
Rfam family: Eukaryotic small subunit ribosomal RNA
Source: RNAcentral